RNAcentral lists this transfer RNA (85 nucleotides) under Acidimicrobiia bacterium. Its description in RNAcentral is "tRNA-Leu". It matches the Rfam family "tRNA". Rfam says of the family: Transfer RNA (tRNA) molecules are approximately 80 nucleotides in length. The record is from RNAcentral. Lineage: Bacteria; Bacillati; Actinomycetota; Acidimicrobiia.
GCCCGGAUGGCGAAAUUGGCAGACGCGGCGGACUUAAAAUCCGCUGUCCCUAUGGGACGUACAGGUUCAAGUCCUGUUCCGGGCA